Molecule: ribosomal RNA, 460 nt
Filed under: uncultured bacterium
Lineage: Bacteria
Description: partial 16S ribosomal RNA
Rfam family: Bacterial small subunit ribosomal RNA
Source: RNAcentral
CCUACGGGUGGCAGCAGUGAGGAAUAUUGGUCAAUGGACGAGAGUCUGAACCAGCCAAGUAGCGUGAAGGAUGACUGCCCUAUGGGUUGUAAACUUCUUUUAUAUGGGAAUAAAACAGGGUAUGCAUACCCUCUUGUAUGUACCAUAUGAAUAAGGAACGGCUAACUCCGUGCCAGCAGCCGCGGUAAUACGGAGGAUCCGAGCGUUAUCCGGAUUUAUUGGGUUUAAAGGGAGCGUAGGCGGAUUGUUAAGUCAGUUGUGAAAGGUUGCGGCUCAACCGUAAAAUUGCAGUUGAAACUGGCAGUCUUGAGUACGGUAGAAGUGGGCGGAAUUCGUGGUGUAGCGGUGAAAUGCUUAGAUAUCACGAAGAACUCCGAUUGCGAAGGCAGCUCGCUGGACUGCAACUGACACUGAUGCUCGAAAGUGUGGGUAUCAAACAGGAUUAGAUACCCGAGUAGUC